Molecule: ribosomal RNA, 442 nt
Filed under: uncultured bacterium
Lineage: Bacteria
Description: partial 16S ribosomal RNA
Rfam family: Bacterial small subunit ribosomal RNA
Source: RNAcentral
CCUACGGGAGGCAGCAGUGGGGAAUAUUGGGCAAUGGGCGCAAGCCUGACCCAGCAACGCCGCGUGAAGGAAGAAGGCUUUCGGGUUGUAAACUUCUUUUAAGAGGGAAGAGCAGAAGACGGUACCUCUUGAAUAAGCCACGGCUAACUACGUGCCAGCAGCCGCGGUAAUACGUAGGUGGCAAGCGUUGUCCGGAUUUACUGGGUGUAAAGGGCGUGUAGGCGGGGAAGCAAGUCAGAUGUGAAAACCACGGGCUCAACCUGUGGCCUGCAUUUGAAACUGUUUGUCUUGAGUGCUGGAGAGGUAAUCGGAAUUCCGGGUGUAGCGGUGAAAUGCGUAGAUAUACGGAGGAACACCAGUGGCGAAGGCGGAUUGCUGGACAGUAACUGACGCUGAGGCGCGAAAGCGUGGGGAGCAAACAGGAUUAGAUACCCUUGUAGUC